AACGAACGCUGGCGGUAUGCUUAACACAUGCAAGUCGAACGAAUUUAAAAGCUUCGGUUUUUAAGUUAGUGGCAGACGGGUGAGUAACGCGUGGGAAUGUACCCUUUAGUUCAGAAUAACUACGGGAAACUGUAGCUAAUACUGGAUACGCCCUUCGGGGGAAAGAUUUAUCGCUAAAGGAACAGCCCGCGUUAGAUUAGGUAGUUGGUGAGGUAAAAGCUCACCAAGCCGACGAUCUAUAGCUGGUUUGAGAGGAUGAUCAGCCACACUGGGACUG
Molecule: ribosomal RNA, 277 nt
Filed under: uncultured bacterium
Lineage: Bacteria
Description: partial 16S ribosomal RNA
Rfam family: Bacterial small subunit ribosomal RNA
Source: RNAcentral